AUCCCCAUUUCUAUAAGUACUUCAAAACAUAUUCCUUCAACAUAGAAAACGAUGUCUUUCACUCAAAUUCCGCGAAAGAGAGCAAGAAAGAAAAAAUCUCUGAAAGAGGCUGAUCAUAUACGACCUUGGUCGAUACCAAGUACUCUCCAUGGAAUAUUCAUUUGAGCAAGAUGUUGGCAUCAAAUUGCAGCGGUGAAGGACGAGCUGAAUCUAUAUCGAUACUACCUCGACCUCGAUCCUUCACAUUGUUAUUAAUUAAAUACAUAGUCACAGUCUCAUUGUAGACUAUGUAUCAAAUAAUACUUUGAAUGCAGAUUCAGGAAUAAAUUAAAAUAUUUAUUUAGUUCUA
Brassica oleracea var. oleracea is the source of this 349-nucleotide long non-coding RNA. RefSeq lists it as uncharacterized. Lineage: Eukaryota; Viridiplantae; Streptophyta; Magnoliopsida; Brassicales; Brassicaceae. The transcript has 2 exons. The record is from RefSeq and is a predicted model, not a curated record.